Molecule: RNA transcript, 2808 nt
Organism: Salvia hispanica
Lineage: Eukaryota; Viridiplantae; Streptophyta; Magnoliopsida; Lamiales; Lamiaceae
Gene: SPP1
Gene name: Phosphatidic acid phosphatase (PAP2) family protein
Source: RefSeq, a predicted model, not a curated record
UAAAAUUCAAAUGCAAAGCGGUCAAAAGUUGUGUUCGGUUGUUUCAUCAGACUGUUUCAUAAUAUCAAGUUGCGAAUAUUAAAUUAUUGUAAUCGAAUGAAAAUUAUGUUCCUAAGUCCACCGCGUACAAUCAAAUGCUGACAAUUUCUGAGCCAAUUUGAAAAUUCUUCAAGAAUCUUGAUUUCUUCGCCUCUUAUUGUUCUUUCUCCAUACCUAGUGUUUUUUCAGGAGAAAGAGAGAGAGAGAGAGAGAGAGGAAAGGGGAGAGAGAUGGAAAGCAUAUCAACAGGGUGGCAAGUAAUUUCAUUAUGUGGGAUAGCACUUUGGAUUGUGAUUUCUUCAAAGUUGGAGGUGACUCAAAAGCUCAGAUCUUGUACACAGCCAUGGAUCUGUCAACGUGUGAUUUCUGGAACUCCCAUUGUUAUCAGGAUUCAGAAAUACCAGCACAGAUGUUUGGAUGCAUUUUUUUCUGGGUUAUCUUGUGUUGUUUCAGUACCUUUUUAUACUGCCUUUCUUCCCCUGCUUUUCUGGACUGGGCAUUGCAAAUUGGCUAGGCAAAUGACACUCUUGAUAGCUUUCUGUGAUUAUACUGGAAACUGCAUAAAGGAUGUGGUUUCAGCACCUAGACCCCAAACUCCACCUGUCAGAAGAAUAACAGCCACCAAGGAUGAGGAAGAUAAUGCAAUGGAAUACGGAUUCCCUUCGUCGCACACUCUUAAUACUGUCUGCUUAUCGGGGUACCUUUUACACUACAUUCUUGACUACAGUGAAAGUAAUGAUUUCUCCAUUAGAGUGGCUGGAAUCAUUCUGGCUUGUCUGGUUGUUGGUCUCAUUGGUUUUGGAAGGAUAUACCUCGGAAUGCACAGCUUGAUUGAUAUUAUUGGUGGUCUGGCUUUGGGACUAGGAAUCUUGGCACUUUGGCUCUCUGUGUCAGAAUACAUAGAUAAUUUUGUAGUUUCUGGUCAAAAUGUUGUAUCUUUCUGGGCCGCCUUAUGCUUCUUGUUACUGUUUGCAUACCCCACUCCUGAAGUUCCAACACCAAGUUUUGAGUAUCACACAGCCUUCAAUGGCGUUUCCCUGGGUAUUGUGAUAGGAAUCCACCAGACGUUCAAUCAGUUUCACCAUGAGGAUGUUGCUCGUGUAUUUUCCCCUCAGCUUGCACUUCCUGCCUUUGUGGGUAGACUACUACUAGGAAUCCCGACAAUCCUUCUUGUGAAGUUCUGCAGCAAGGCUCUUGCCAAAUGGAUUCUUCCAAUUGUUUCAAAUACUUUGGGAAUCCCAGUAAGAUCAACAAGCUAUAUACCUAACUUAAAUGGAACCGAUAAGAAAUCGGAUGUAUUUAAGCAGUCGGGUUAUCUCCAGAAAAUGUUCUCCAAGCAGACGUCAUUUGAUGUCGAUACUGGCAUCAGGCUCCUUCAGUAUGCUGGUCUUGCCUGCUCUGUAUUACGUAUGCAAGAGAAGUUGAUCGCGCUGAGUUCUCCAUCAAUGAAGGCCCAAGAUGAUUGGAGAAAUCGUCUGUAGAGCUGAAUAGCUUCAUUUUUGUAACACAAACUGGAGUACCGGUCGAAUCCAUGACGGGGGAGGAACUGAAGUGCUCGUGGAGCAAUUUGGCUAGGUCCCUGAAAACUAAUGGGUUGACAACAGAUGAUGCCACCUGAUAGAUGCUACACUCUGGUUUCCCAACUGUCCCGUGCUUUGCCAUGGCUGCUAAGGUUGCGUUAACAACCAUAUCCGCUGGAACCUAAAGCAAGUCAUUUUCAGUUACCUGAUUUGAAGUCCCAAACAGAAUUCUUCAGCAGACAUACCUGUUUCCUUCCAUCCAUCCAGGGAAUGGUUCUUUAUGCGUGCUCUCGAUGACACUGGGUCUAAUCACAACUACUGAUUCUUGAACAGCUCGGCAUUGAUGAUCUGCAACACACGCGUAUCAGAAGGUUAUACAGAAAAAAGAAGUUGACGAGAGAGAGAGAGAGCGGGAUGAAAGCAAAGUUCUCCAUACUUCGUUUUUCAAUCUCUCUUCUACAGCUUCUUGAUUCUUGGCCUUGAUCACAACAAAUAUCUUAUGAACAUCAGGAGCCGUCCGCAGCAUUUUCUCGAUGAGGACUGAAAAUCAUGCAAGGGACAGCUCGAGGAGUUAAACGGCGUUUCUGAGGAAUCUGAAGAGGUAAGAAAAGACAACGAUACCUUUGCCAAGAAAUCCAGUUGCACCAGUGAUGAGGAAGGUCUUCCCUCUUAGAAAUUUGACAAUGCCGAUACCCUCAUCUUUGGCAUUAUUGCUCAAGACUAGGCUCCCGGUUUCCAUCCCUUGAUCUUGGGUGAUCAAGGCCGACGACGUCUCUGUCAGGACAGAAGAGAUCCCGGUAGACUUGAUGGCAUGGCUACCAGUUUGGCAGCAGACCAUACUUCUCCGACCGUAAGUAGAAAGCCUCGUGUGGUUGAACUUGGCAGCAUAGGAGAUGGAGGAAUUCAGAGAGAAAGCCUCCAUUGCUGCAGAGGUGACAAAUUAGUAAAAAAGGAUGCUAGGUGAGAUGAAGCUCUUUUGAUGAGAAAUGGUAGGUUGGGAAAAGUUAACUACUUUUCUUUUAUUACUCUUUAUUGUUUCUUGCAACAAACCAUUAUUUAAGAUGUGAGUUUGGUUAGAUUAAGAGGGGUGUGAAUGAAUUUUUUUAUGAUUUUAAGGAGUGUGGAGAUGAGAAUUAGGAGGAUAAGGAGAAGGCUCUCUUUUUGCCACCCCCUCUCCACACACGUUCAUUUGGAAACCACUAAUUUGGUGGAAAGUUGAUAUUUUAUUAUAUUCAUCUUUUUCUUCUCA